GUCGAACGGUGAACACGGAGCUUGCUCUGUGGGAUCAGUGGCGAACGGGUGAGUAACACGUGAGCAACCUGCCCCUGACUCUGGGAUAAGCGCUGGAAACGGCGUCUAAUACUGGAUAUGUGACGUGACCGCAUGGUCUGCGUUUGGAAAGAUUUUUCGGUUGGGGAUGGGCUCGCGGCCUAUCAGCUUGUUGGUGAGGUAAUGGCUCACCAAGGCGUCGACGGGUAGCCGGCCUGAGAGGGUGACCGGCCACACUGGGACUGAGACACGGCCCAGACUCCUACGGGAGGCAGCAGUGGGGAAUAUUGCACAAUGGGCGAAAGCCUGAUGCAGCAACGCCGCGUGAGGGAUGACGGCCUUCGGGUUGUAAACCUCUUUUAGCAGGGAAGAAGCGAAAGUGACGGUACCUGCAGAAAAAGCGCCGGCUAACUACGUGCCAGCAGCCGCGGUAAUACGUAGGGCGCAAGCGUUAUCCGGAAUUAUUGGGCGUAAAGAGCUCGUAGGCGGUUUGUCGCGUCUGCUGUGAAAUCCCGAGGCUCAACCUCGGGCCUGCAGUGGGUACGGGCAGACUAGAGUGCGGUAGGGGAGAUUGGAAUUCCUGGUGUAGCGGUGGAAUGCGCAGAUAUCAGGAGGAACACCGAUGGCGAAGGCAGAUCUCUGGGCCGUAACUGACGCUGAGGAGCGAAAGGGUGGGGAGCAAACAGGCUUAGAUACCCUGGUAGUCCACCCCGUAAACGUUGGGAACUAGUUGUGGGGUCCAUUCCACGGAUUCCGUGACGCAGCUAACGCAUUAAGUUCCCCGCCUGGGGAGUACGGCCGCAAGGCUAAAACUCAAAGGAAUUGACGGGGACCCGCACAAGCGGCGGAGCAUGCGGAUUAAUUCGAUGCAACGCGAAGAACCUUACCAAGGCUUGACAUAUACGAGAACGGGCCAGAAAUGGUCAACUCUUUGGACACUCGUAAACAGGUGGUGCAUGGUUGUCGUCAGCUCGUGUCGUGAGAUGUUGGGUUAAGUCCCGCAACGAGCGCAACCCU
This 1035-nucleotide ribosomal RNA is filed under the name Microbacterium paraoxydans. RNAcentral's name for it is "bacterial SSU rRNA". It matches the Rfam family "Bacterial small subunit ribosomal RNA", at positions 61 to 1105 of the family's 1533-position model. Lineage: Bacteria; Bacillati; Actinomycetota; Actinomycetes; Micrococcales; Microbacteriaceae. The record is from RNAcentral.